GAAGCGAACGCGGUGAACUGAAACAUCUAAGUAACCGCAGGAAAAGAAAUCAACCGAGAUUCCCAAAGUAGUGGCGAGCGAAAUGGGAUGAGCCUUGCACUCUUUAUUUGUAUUGUUAGCCGAACGCUCUGGAAAGUGCGGCCAUAGCAGGUGAUAGCCCUGUAGGCGAAAACAGUAUGAAAGAACUAGGUGUGCGACAAGUAGGGCGGGACACGUGAAAUCCUGUCUGAAGAUGGGGGGACCAUCCUCCAAGGCUAAAUACUCGUGAUCGACCGAUAGUGAACCAGUACCGUGAGGGAAAGGCGAAAAGAACCCCGGGAGGGGAGUGAAAUAGAUCCUGAAACCGCAUGCAUACAAACAGUCGGAGCCUCGCAAGGGGUGACGGCGUACCUUUUGUAUAAUGGGUCAGCGACUUACGUUCAGUAGCAAGCUUAACCGUAUAGGGCAGGCGUAGCGAAAGCGAGUCCGAAUAGGGCGUUCAGUUGCUGGGCGUAGACCCGAAACCAGGUGAUCUAUCCAUGGCCAGGAUGAAGGUGCGGUAACACGUACUGGAGGUCCGAACCCACUAACGUUGAAAAGUUAGGGGAUGAGCUGUGGAUAGGGGUGAAAGGCUAAACAAACCUGGAAAUAGCUGGUUCUCUCCGAAAACUAUUUAGGUAGUGCCUCGUGUCUCACCUUCGGGGGUAGAGCACUGUCAUGGUUGGGGGGUCUAUUGCAGAUUACCCCGCCAUAGCAAACUCCGAAUACCGAAGAGUGCAAUCACGGGAGACAGACAUCGGGUGCUAACGUCCGGUGUCAAGAGGGAAACAACCCAGACCGCCAGCUAAGGUCCCCAAAUAUAGCUAAGUGGGAAACGAAGUGGGAAGGCUAAAACAGUCAGGAGGUUGGCUUAGAAGCAGCCACCCUUUAAAGAAAGCGUAAUAGCUCACUGAUCGAGUCGUCCUGCGCGGAAGAUGUAACGGGGCUAAGCUAUAUACCGAAGCUGCGGAUGCGUGCUUGCACGCAUGGUAGGAGAGCGUUCCGUAAGCCUGCGAAGGUGCCUUGUAAAGGGUGCUGGAGGUAUCGGAAGUGCGAAUGCUGACAUGAGUAGCGAUAAAGGGGGUGAAAGGCCCCCUCGCCGUAAGCCCAAGGUUUCCUACGCAACGUUCAUCGGCGUAGGGUGAGUCGGCCCCUAAGGCGAGGCAGAAAUGCGUAGCUGAUGGGAAGCAGGUCAAUAUUCCUGCACCAUUGUUAGAUGCGAUGGGGGGACGGAUCGCGGAAGGUUGUCCGGGUGUUGGAAGUCCCGGUCGCUGCAUUGGAGAAGGCGCUUAGGCAAAUCCGGGCGCGUAAUUCAAGGGUGUGGCGCGAGCUCCUUAGGGAGCGAAGCAAUUGGAAGUGGUUCCAAGAAAAGCCUCUAAGCUUCAGUCUAACGAUGACCGUACCGCAAACCGACACAGGUGGGCGAGAUGAGUAUUCUAAGGCGCUUGAGAGAACUCGGGAGAAGGAACUCGGCAAAUUGGUACCGUAACUUCGGGAUAAGGUACGCCCUUGUAGCUUGACUGGCCUGCGCCAGGAGGGUGAAGGGGUUGCAAUAAACUGGUGGCUGCGACUGUUUAAUAAAAACACAGCACUCUGCAAACACGAAAGUGGACGUAUAGGGUGUGACGCCUGCCCGGUGCCGGAAGAUUAAAUGAUGGGGUGCAAGCUCUUGAUUGAAGUCCCGGUAAACGGCGGCCGUAACUAUAACGGUCCUAAGGUAGCGAAAUUCCUUGUCGGGUAAGUUCCGACCUGCACGAAUGGCGUAACGAUGGCCACACUGUCUCCUCCCGAGACUCAGCGAAGUUGAAGUGUUUGUGAUGAUGCAAUCUACCCGCGGCUAGACGGAAAGACCCCAUGAACCUUUACUGUAGCUUUGCAUUGGACUUUGAACCGAUCUGUGUAGGAUAGGUGGGAGGCUAUGAAACCGGAACGCUAGUUUCGGUGGAGCCGUCCUUGAAAUACCACCCUGGUUUGUUUGAGGUUCUAACCUUGGCCCGUGAUCCGGGUCGGGGACAGUGCAUGGUAGGCAGUUUGACUGGGGCGGUCUCCUCCCAAAGCGUAACGGAGGAGUACGAAGGUACGCUAGGUACGGUCGGAAAUCGUGCUGAUAGUGCAAUGGCAUAAGCGUGCUUAACUGCGAGACCGACAAGUCGAGCAGGUGCGAAAGCAGGUCAUAGUGAUCCGGUGGUUCUGUAUGGAAGGGCCAUCGCUCAACGGAUAAAAGGUACUCUGGGGAUAACAGGCUGAUACCGCCCAAGAGUUCAUAUCGACGGCGGUGUUUGGCACCUCGAUGUCGGCUCAUCUCAUCCUGGGGCUGUAGCCGGUCCCAAGGGUAUGGCUGUUCGCCAUUUAAAGAGGUACGUGAGCUGGGUUUAAAACGUCGUGAGACAGUUUGGUCCCUAUCUGCCGUGGGCGUUGGAUAUUUGAAGGGGGCUGCUCCUAGUACGAGAGGACCGGAGUGGACGAACCUCUGGUGUACCGGUUGUCACGCCAGUGGCAUCGCCGGGUAGCUAUGUUCGGAAGAGAUAACCGCUGAAAGCAUCUAAGCGGGAAACUCGCCUUAAGAUGAGAUAUCCCUGGGGACUAGAUCCCCUUGAAGGGUCGUUCGAGACCAGGACGUUGAUAGGUCAGGUGUGUAAGCGCAGUAAUGCGUUCAGCUAACUGAUACUAAUUGCCCGUAAGGCUUGAUCCUAUAACA
RNAcentral lists this ribosomal RNA (2716 nucleotides) under Burkholderia cenocepacia. RNAcentral describes it as "bacterial LSU rRNA". It matches the Rfam family "Bacterial large subunit ribosomal RNA". Lineage: Bacteria; Pseudomonadati; Pseudomonadota; Betaproteobacteria; Burkholderiales; Burkholderiaceae. The record is from RNAcentral.